CCUGCCCCUAAAGGUGCUGGAGGUGUGACUGCUGUGUCACAUGUGCAUCAGUAGGUGACAAAGUGAGUGGGUGGAUCUAUACUCAGUGUUCUAACCUGUGAACCUCUGAAUGUGGUACAAGCAUAACA
Molecule: small nucleolar RNA, 128 nt
Organism: Rattus norvegicus (Norway rat)
Lineage: Eukaryota; Metazoa; Chordata; Mammalia; Rodentia; Muridae
Product: small nucleolar RNA SNORA17
Source: Ensembl